Vigna umbellata (rice bean) is the source of this 1560-nucleotide long non-coding RNA. RefSeq lists it as uncharacterized. Lineage: Eukaryota; Viridiplantae; Streptophyta; Magnoliopsida; Fabales; Fabaceae. The record is from RefSeq and is a predicted model, not a curated record.
UCUCAGUCUCAUUCUUCUCUUUCGUUCAUCUCACUACUACAUAAUUGAUCAUAGAUAGCCCCAAUCUCAAUCCCUAACCCGUCUUUUCUGCUACCCUUCCCACCUCUCCUCUAUCAAAAUCGUCGCCGUCUUAGGCUCCAUCGUCGCUGUCUUAGGCUCCAUCGUCGCUUUCGGUGGCGACGACGACACUAUCCACCUCUACGACCUCUCUGUCGCCUCCUCCCUCGGUUCCCUCCACCAACACUCUACCUUUGUCACCGCCCUCUCCUUCUACGCCCCUCCCAAUCUCCACUUCCCCCGCAACCUCAUCUCCACCGACGACGCUGGCUCCGUCGCCAUUUUUGAUGCAGACGACUUCGUCCAUCUUACCACGCUCUCCGUCCACUGCAGCGCUGGUAUCAACGACCUCGCACUGCACCUGUCUGGUGAGCACGACCGAUAAAAUUGAAGAUGUUUGUUCCGGCUUUGAAGGAUGCUUGAAUAGAGGAGUUUGAGCUAUAUCGAUGGACCCAUUCCGGUGCCUCUUGAUGAGAUGAAGGAGGCACAAUGAUAAUGUUCUUUUGUUCUGGCAAGUCAAGCCUAUUGUACAUGUUUUUCAGCGAGGAAGGUUCAUGUGAGGAUAUAAGCUCUGAUGGCCAGUCUUCCAGCUUCAAUGAAUGGAUUCUUCCUACAAAAGAAUUUGAUGGCAUGUGGGAAAGCAAGUGGGAGCAAUGAUUCUUGUCGGUCACAGGUGAUUAUGUUUCUUAAAUUAAUUUUCUUGGAUUCUUGUUAUAGGGUCUUCAACUUAAAGUAAGUUUGAUGCUUAAAAAAUUAUACGAUUUUGAAACAGUUAUAACUUCAAUCUGAAGUAAUAUUUUAAGCUCAAUAAACCAAGUCAUAUGCUACUAAGUUGAUUAAAGAAGAACCUUAUGUACUCUGUUCGAUACAGGAAAUCCGUAAGUGUCAAAGGUCAUACAUUUUUCCCUGAUAUUUGCUACCUGCCUCUUCACCAUAGCUUUACUACACCUGACCAGAGUUAUCAUCCUUUAAUCACUGUGCAUCAUGCUUCAUAGCUCAUAACCAUAAUGCAUUUGCUAUAAGACUGUAAUAUGGCAUGAUUACAAGGAUAUUUUGUAUAAUUGUUUUGUAUUACCCCUUUAAAUUCACAUCUGCAGAUAUUUGUGUUUAUUUUUAUAUUUUUGGGUCUGCACCACUUGCCUUUAUUUUUCACUUAUUUUCUUUGAAUUUUUUUCCUAUGAAUAUAUUUGGUGUACUGAGCAUGAGCAGUUUUCCACAUGUAUAAAUUACAUUUCACUUUGUUGUAUUUUAUUAUUAUAAGUCAUGGAUCAAAAUUUGUUUCAUUAUUGAAGCAUGGGAGGAUCAAUUGUUGUGCAUGUAGCUGCAAGAAGUUCAUUGUCCACCUUGGUUGGGUUGUCGUGGAUUUUGUAGAGGGAACAACUAUGAUUUCAAAUCUUUAAUGAUUCAUCUCCCAUGGGAGCUGUAGACAUGGAAGACAUUGGAAGGAACUGGGCUUCUUUUAUUUUAAGUGUUACUAGAAAUUUGGCUAGAAUUCAAUAGUGU